GUCUGUAUGGGCUUCGGUCUCUUCUGAGAUACUUUUGGUGAUUCAAAAUAACUUAUCGAAUCGCAGAGGCGUUUACGUCGGCGAUGAUACAUACAAAUUUCUGCUCGAUUAACUGUCGAUGGUAGUGUAGUGGACUACCAUGGUGAUAAUCGAUGACGGGGGAUUAGGGUUCGAUUCCGGAGAGGUAGCCUGAGAAAUGGCUACCACUUCCAAGGAAGGCAGCAGGCGCGCAAAUUACCCAAUGCUAACUCAGCGAGGUAGUGACAAGAAAUACCAAUACAAUGCCAAUGGUGUUGUGUUUGGAAUGAGAGUAAUCUAAACAUUUACUCGAGGAACAAUUGGAGGGCAAGUCUGGUGCCAGCAGCCGCGGUAAUUCCAGCUCCAAUAGUGUAUAUUAAAGUUGUUGCAGUUAAAAAGCUCGUAGUUGGAUGUCGGUAACUAUCAUGAGUGUCUACUCUCAAUGAGUACGUACACGAAUGUAGUACCUUCUUUCUGGUAGUGAUUUUAUAUUGCUCCAGAUAUUUUACUUUGAGAAAAUUAGAGUGUUCAAAGCAGGCGUAACUUUGCCUUUGAAUAUAUUAGCAUGGGAUAAUGAAAUAAGACUUUUGCCUUAUUCUCGUUGGUUCUUUUAGGCUUAAGUAAUGAUUAAUAGGGACAGUUGGGGUUAUCUGUAUUUGAUCGCCAGAGGUGAAAUUCUAAGACUGAUCAAAGACAAACUACUGCGAAAGCAUUUAACAAGGAUGUUUUCAUUAAUCAAGAACGAAAGUUGGGGGAUCGAAGAUGAUCAGAUACCGUCGUAGUCCCAACCAUAAACUAUGUCGACCAAGGAUUCGAAAGCGUUACAUGAAUGACCUCUCGGGCACUUAUAGAGAAAUCAUAAGUAUUUGGAUUCCGGGGGGAGUAUGGUCGCAAGGCUGAAACUUAAAGAGAUUGACGGAAGGGCACCACAAGGAGUGGAAUAUGCGGUUUAAUUUGACUCAACACGGGAAAACUUACCAGGUCCAGACACAAGGAGGAUUGACAGAUUGAGAGCUCUUUCUUAAUUUUGUGGGUGGUGGUGCAUGGCCGUUUCUAGUUGGUGGAGUGAUUUGUCUGGUUAAUUCCGUUAACGAACGAGACCUUAACCUAUUAAAUAG
Molecule: ribosomal RNA, 1136 nt
Filed under: metagenome
Description: SSU rRNA
Rfam family: Eukaryotic small subunit ribosomal RNA
Source: RNAcentral